Molecule: long non-coding RNA, 644 nt
Organism: Cyprinus carpio carpio
Lineage: Eukaryota; Metazoa; Chordata; Actinopteri; Cypriniformes; Cyprinidae
Source: Ensembl
AAAGGAUCUGCUGUGCCUGAGGAGGGCGCUCUGCUCAACUUGUGACUUCCUGUUGUUUCAUUGUACAUGUGCUGUUGUGUGUUUGCUUCAGGGUGUUGAUGCUCUUAGCUGCCUGUUCAUCUGCCUAUUGUGUGCAGUGUGGAUUUUGAGUUGAUAAGGUCACCGUAGCCACUAGAUCCAGUACGUAUCCAGCCCAGAUGGUGGAUCAGCACCUAGAAAGGACCUCUACAGCCCUGAAAGACAGCGGAGACCAGGACUAGAGCCCCAGAGACAGAUCCCCUGUAAAGACCUUGUCUCAGACGACCACCGGGACAAGACCACAGGAAACAGAUGAUUCUUCUGCACAAUCUGACUUUGCUGCAGCCUGGAAUUGAACUGCUGGUUUCAUCUGGUCAGAGGAUAACUGGCCCCCCGACUGAGCCUGGUUUCUCCCAAGGUUUUUUCUCCAUUCUGUCACUGAUGGAGUUUUGGUUCCUUGCCGCUGUCGCCUCUGGCUUGCUUAGUUGGGGACACUUCAUUUACAGCGAUAUCGUUGACUUGAUUGCAAAUGAUUGCACAGAUACUAUUUAAACUGAACUGAGCUGCAUGAUGACAUCACUGAAUUCAAUGAUGAACUGCUUUAACUGUCAUUUUGCAUUAUUGAC